RNAcentral lists this ribosomal RNA (301 nucleotides) under uncultured bacterium. RNAcentral's name for it is "partial 16S ribosomal RNA". It matches the Rfam family "Bacterial small subunit ribosomal RNA", at positions 509 to 807 of the family's 1533-position model. The record is from RNAcentral.
CAGUCGCCACGGGAAUACGUAGGUGGCAAGCGUUGUCCGGAAUUAUUGGGCGUAAAGGGCUCGCAGGCGGUUUCUUAAGUCUGAUGUGAAAGCCCCCGGCUCAACCGGGGAGGGUCAUUGGAAACUGGGAAACUUGAGUGCAGAAGAGGAGAGUGGAAUUCCACGUGUAGCGGUGAAAUGCGUAGAGAUGUGGAGGAACACCAGUGGCGAAGGCGACUCUCUGGUCUGUAACUGACGCUGAGGAGCGAAAGCGUGGGGAGCGAAUGGGAUUAGAUACCCGGGUAGUCCCUGUCUCUUAUAC